Molecule: transfer RNA, 69 nt
Filed under: Guentherus altivela (highfin tadpole fish)
Lineage: Eukaryota; Metazoa; Chordata; Actinopteri; Ateleopodiformes; Ateleopodidae
Description: tRNA-His
Rfam family: tRNA
About the family: Transfer RNA (tRNA) molecules are approximately 80 nucleotides in length. Their secondary structure includes four short double-helical elements and three loops (D, anti-codon, and T loops). Further hydrogen bonds mediate the characteristic L-shaped molecular structure. tRNAs have two regions of fundamental functional importance: the anti-codon, which is responsible for specific mRNA codon recognition, and the 3' end, to which the tRNAs corresponding amino acid is attached (by aminoacyl-tRNA synthetases). tRNAs cope with the degeneracy of the genetic code in two manners: having more than one tRNA (with a specific anti-codon) for a particular amino acid; and 'wobble' base-pairing, i.e. permitting non-standard base-pairing at the 3rd anti-codon position.
Source: RNAcentral
GCGGACAUAGUAUAAUCAAAACGCUAGAUUGUGAUUCUAGAAAUAGGAGUUAAACCCUCCUUAUCCGCC